AACACAUGCAAGUCGAGCGGAAACGAGUUAUCUGAACCUUCGGGGAACGAUAACGGCGUCGAGCGGCGGACGGGUGAGUAAUGCCUAGGAAAUUGCCCUGAUGUGGGGGAUAACCAUUGGAAACGAUGGCUAAUACCGCAUAAUGCCUACGGGCCAAAGAGGGGGACCUUCGGGCCUCUCGCGUCAGGAUAUGCCUAGGUGGGAUUAGCUAGUUGGUGAGGUAAGGGCUCACCAAGGCGACGAUCCCUAGCUGGUCUGAGAGGAUGAUCAGCCACACUGGAACUGAGACACGGUCCAGACUCCUACGGGAGGCAGCAGUGGGGAAUAUUGCACAAUGGGCGCAAGCCUGAUGCAGCCAUGCCGCGUGUGUGAAGAAGGCCUUCGGGUUGUAAAGCACUUUCAGUCGUGAGGAAGGUAGUGUAGUUAAUAGCUGCAUUAUUUGACGUUAGCGACAGAAGAAGCACCGGCUAACUCCGUGCCAGCAGCCGCGGUAAUACGGAGGGUGCGAGCGUUAAUCGGAAUUACUGGGCGUAAAGCGCAUGCAGGUGGUUUGUUAAGUCAGAUGUGAAAGCCCGGGGCUCAACCUCGGAAUUGCAUUUGAAACUGGCAGACUAGAGUACUGUAGAGGGGGGUAGAAUUUC
RNAcentral lists this ribosomal RNA (641 nucleotides) under uncultured Vibrio sp. Its description in RNAcentral is "bacterial SSU rRNA". It matches the Rfam family "Bacterial small subunit ribosomal RNA", at positions 50 to 670 of the family's 1533-position model. Lineage: Bacteria; Pseudomonadati; Pseudomonadota; Gammaproteobacteria; Vibrionales; Vibrionaceae. The record is from RNAcentral.